RNAcentral lists this ribosomal RNA (549 nucleotides) under uncultured bacterium. Its description in RNAcentral is "bacterial SSU rRNA". It matches the Rfam family "Bacterial small subunit ribosomal RNA", at positions 355 to 896 of the family's 1533-position model. The record is from RNAcentral.
UAGGGAAUCUUCCACAAUGGGCGAAAGCCUGAUGGAGCAACGCCGCGUGUGUGAUGAAGGCUUUAGGGUCGUAAAGCACUGUUGUAUGGGAAGAAAUGCUAGAAUAGGGAAUGAUUCUAGUUCGACGGUACCAUACCAGAAAGGGACGGCUAAAUACGUGCCAGCAGCCGCGGUAAUACGUAUGUCCCGAGCGUUAUCCGGAUUUAUUGGGCGUAAAGCGAGCGCAGACGGUUGAUUAAGUCUGAUGUGAAAGCCCGGAGCUCAACUCCGGAAUGGCAUUGGAAACUGGUUAACUUGAGUGUUGUAGAGGUAAGUGGAACUCCAUGUGUAGCGGUGGAAUGCGUAGAUAUAUGGAAGAACACCAGUGGCGAAGGCGGCUUACUGGACAACAACUGACGUUGAGGCUCGAAAGUGUGGGUAGCAAACAGGAUUAGAUACCCUGGUAGUCCACACCGUNNCGAUGAAUACUAGGUGUUAGGAGGNUUCCGCCUCUUAGUGNCGAAGCUAACGCAUUAAGUAUUCCGCCUGGGGAGUACNACCGCAAGGNUG